Molecule: ribosomal RNA, 465 nt
Filed under: uncultured bacterium
Lineage: Bacteria
Description: partial 16S ribosomal RNA
Rfam family: Bacterial small subunit ribosomal RNA
Source: RNAcentral
GACGAACGCUGGCGGCGUGCUUAACACAUGCAAGUCGAACGGAAAGGCCCUGCUUGCAGGGUACUCGAGUGGCGAACGGGUGAGUAACACGUGGGUGAUCUGCCCUGCACUUCGGGAUAAGCCUGGGAAACUGGGUCUAAUACCGGAUAGGAGCCAUUUUUAGUGUGAUGGUUGGAAAGUUUUUUCGGUGUAGGAUGAGCUCGCGGCCUAUCAGCUUGUUGGUAGGGUAAUGGCCUACCAAGGCGGCGACGGGUAGCCGGCCUGAGAGGGUGGACGGCCACAUUGGGACUGAGAUACGGCCCAGACUCCUACGGGAGGCAGCAGUGGGGAAUAUUGCACAAUGGGCGCAAGCCUGAUGCAGCGACGCCGCGUGGGGGAUGACGGCCUUCGGGUUGUAAACUCCUUUCGCUAGGGACGAAGCUUUUUGUGACGGUACCUAGAUAAGAAGCACCGGCUAACUACGUG